Non-coding RNA from Triticum urartu, 135 nucleotides. The record is from Rfam. NCBI's taxonomy places the organism in Eukaryota, Viridiplantae, Streptophyta, Magnoliopsida, Poales, Poaceae.
GAGAUAUUCCCUCCGUCCGAAUAUACUUGUCAUCAAAAUGGAUAGGAAAGCAUGUAUCUAGAACUAAAAUACAUCUAAAUACAUCACCUUUUAUUCAUUUUGAUGACAAGUAUUUUCGUACGGAGGGAGUAUCAA